RNAcentral lists this ribosomal RNA (119 nucleotides) under Helianthus annuus (common sunflower). Lineage: Eukaryota; Viridiplantae; Streptophyta; Magnoliopsida; Asterales; Asteraceae. The record is from RNAcentral.
GGUUGCGAUCAUACCAGCACUAACGCACCGGAUCCCAUCAGAACUCCGUAGUUAAGCGUGCUUGGGCGAGAGUAGUACUAGGAUGGGUGACCCCCUGGGAAGUCCUCGUGUUGCAACCC